Molecule: microRNA precursor, 81 nt
Filed under: Sorex araneus (European shrew)
Lineage: Eukaryota; Metazoa; Chordata; Mammalia; Eulipotyphla; Soricidae
Description: miRNA (ENSSARG00000016980.1)
Source: RNAcentral
GUGAGAGCAUGUGCAUGUGUGUGUGCAUGCAUGUAUACACACACACACACACACACACACACACACACACCACAGCAGAUA